UAGACUCAGGUUAACUAGUUCCUCCUGAGGGCACACCUGUUUAAGAAGAACAGCGUGCUCUCCCGUAAUUCAAAAUGGUUCCUUUCCCCACUCCCUGCUGGGAGCACAAGGGAAUUUUCCCCUCAUGUCUAAUGUGAGGACUCAGUCAAGUUUCUCGAGGUAAAACUGACAGAAGCACCUCACCCCCUGCCCCGCCGUGAAUGAGUCCUUCUGCAGUUUUUAACUCUCAGUAUUGCUCACACUGAGCCUAGAGCUAUUCGUCAACUACUGUUCCAGGUUUCUUACCCUGCCACUGGUUCCACGGAGCUUUCUGUACAGGAACAUCUUAUGGUGUUUGUGGGGAAACAAGAGUCUGCAAGAGGAUAUAUACCCCCAAAUAUUUGCAUCUCCCAGGAACUUCACCCUCUCGCGGAGAAUAAUCAGCUGGCCUCCCCCAAGUCACCACAUCUCUAGGCCACCAACCAGUUUGAAAAUUUUUGUGGGACACAUGUCUUUAUUUAAAGUCUUUCCAAUGCUUUGGGACUUCUUUUCUUUGGCAAUCUGCAAUCAAGCUGGAGUGGUUUUCUUGGUAGUGACUGCAUCUUUCAAAAUAUUUAAAGACAUACACUGACUGUACCUGCCUGAAGAAAGAAACAGUGGAUAAGGCAAGCAUCAGACAACUCUAAAGCCUGGGAAAGACAAAGCUCAGGAGGAAAUUCCUUGAAGAAAUAAAAACAUAGACAGCUCAUUCUGUUUACAGGGUGUGCAAUAUGUAUGACCUGGGCUAAAAGCAGGCUCAGAAUAGACCUGAGUGAACCCUAGGCAUGCACCUUUGGGAUAACUGUGAGCUCUACAAAAGCUAAAUAUUAAGGUUAGGGCACAGUCCUGGGUAGUCUGGCUUGGUAUUGAAGUGAUACAACUCAGAGGUAAUCUGCACAAAUUAGGAGAGUAGGAUUACCUUUUAACUCCAGAUGUAUUAAAAAAAAUCUGUCGGGUCACUUGCUUACUGCUGAGAUAAUGAAGCAUAGGAAACAUAGGCUUCAAGAACUAUACAGCAUAAGGAAUACAAUCUUUGUAAAAAUAGUUUGGAAAAGUCACCAAAUAGACAAGUAGAGCCCUAAAAAAUUAACAAAAAUUAACACCAGCAAACCCAGGGGAAUGAGGAGAAUCUAAUUUCCAGAGUUACCACCUUUAAAUAUUCAAACUGCACAGUUGUGUUUUUUUAAAAAUCACAAGGCCUAAAAAGAAAAAGGAAGUAUGGCCCAUUCACAUGGGAAAAAAAAAGACAGCUGGUUGUGAGGAAGCACAGACACUAGAAUUAGCAGAUAAAACCUUUAAAUUAACUAUCAAUCAUCUUAAAAAUGCUUAAUAGGCUAAAAGAAAUCAUGGCUAAAGAAAUAAAGAAAACUGGGAAAAUAAAUAAUGUCUAAAGAAGUAAAAUAUUAAUAAGAAAUAAUAAAAAAGGAUCCAAAGAGAAAUUAUAGUGUCAAAAAGUAAAAUAGUUGUUUAAAUUAAAAAAAUAAUAGUAAAAGAAUUCAGCAGCUUUCCGAAGGCAGUAGAAAUAACUAGCAAAUUUGGAAAUAGCAAUUAGAAUUAUCAAGUCAGAAGAACAGAUUGAAGAAAUAGUGACUGAAAACUUCAAAAGUUUGAUGGAGGGUAUGAGCUACACAUUCAAGAGCUUAAAAAAUA
RNAcentral lists this long non-coding RNA (1668 nucleotides) under Homo sapiens (human). Its description in RNAcentral is "HSALNT0038357". The record is from RNAcentral. Lineage: Eukaryota; Metazoa; Chordata; Mammalia; Primates; Hominidae.